AUGAACGCUGGCGGCGUGCCUAAUACAUGCAAGUCGAGCGAACAGACGAGGAGCUUGCUCCUCUGACGUUAGCGGCGGACGGGUGAGUAACACGUGGAUAACCUACCUAUAAGACUGGGAUAACUUCGGGAAACCGGAGCUAAUACCGUAUAACAUGUUGAACCGCAUGGUUCAACAGUGAAAGACGGUCUUGCUGUCACUUAUAGAUGGAUCCGCGCCGCAUUAGUUAGUUGGUAAGGUAACGGCUUACCAAGGCAACGAUGCGUAGCCGACCUGAGAGGGUGAUCGGCCACACUGGAACUGAGACACGGUCCAGACUCCUACGGGAGGCAGCAGUAGGGAAUCUUCCGCAAUGGGCGAAAGCCUGACGGAGCAACGCCGCGUGAGUGAAGAAGGUCUUCGGAUCGUAAAACUCUGUUAUUAGGGAAGAACAAAUGUGUAAGUAACUAUGCACGUCUUGACGGUACCUAAUCAGAAAGCCACGGCUAACUACGUG
This 496-nucleotide ribosomal RNA is filed under the name uncultured bacterium. RNAcentral's name for it is "partial 16S ribosomal RNA". It matches the Rfam family "Bacterial small subunit ribosomal RNA", at positions 29 to 507 of the family's 1533-position model. The record is from RNAcentral.